Molecule: long non-coding RNA, 335 nt
Filed under: Capsicum annuum
Lineage: Eukaryota; Viridiplantae; Streptophyta; Magnoliopsida; Solanales; Solanaceae
Description: long non-coding RNA (CANN_LNC002583)
Source: RNAcentral
UCCAUUAUUGUCACCACUAAAACCAAAACCUCCAUUGCCCAUUCCCAAACCGAAACCUCCAUUUCCCAUUCCCGACCCGAAACCUCCUCCACCGCCAAUGUUUGACCCGAAACCUGAUCCAAUGUUUGAUCCAAAACCCGACCCACUUCCAAUUUCAGUUCCAGUUCCAGCUCCGAAACCCAUUCCACCACCACCUAGGCCACUUUCCCCCGAUAUUCCUCCAAAAGGACCGAAUCCUAAACCCGGCCCUGCACCAAAUCCAGGCCUGCCAAGCCCGUGACCACCAAGAAAUGGUGAUAAAGGGUGGGGAAAAAGGAUCUUUUCUUCAUCUUCUC